UACGUCUAAGUAUAUGGUGUACAAAAAUUUUUGAUAUUUUUAGGAAUAGUUUAAUUCUAUUAGAUGUAA
Molecule: transfer RNA, 69 nt
Filed under: Ocypus ophthalmicus
Lineage: Eukaryota; Metazoa; Arthropoda; Insecta; Coleoptera; Staphylinidae
Description: tRNA-Gln
Source: RNAcentral